This is a long non-coding RNA of Macrobrachium nipponense, 1614 nucleotides long. RefSeq lists it as uncharacterized. The transcript is spliced from 3 exons. The record is from RefSeq and is a predicted model, not a curated record. Lineage: Eukaryota; Metazoa; Arthropoda; Malacostraca; Decapoda; Palaemonidae.
GCCUACAGUCACUACAGUGUCAGUGUGCACUGUGCAAGUGGAACUUUUCCUUUCAAGGUCAAGAAGGACUCUAUUUCAGGACCAUGUUUCGAAGUUGAGGUGUAUUUUUGUGAUUUGCAACCUUAUGAGAAGGGACGCAAAAUAUUGGUUGGUUAAUACUUGAGUGCUGAUGACGAUGAUUCAGAAUUGUCCAAUUACCUGAAUUUGGACUGUCGACAGAAGGGUGGUGAAUGAAUUCAGAAUAGUCCUCAUGAACUUGGCCUGGACAGUCUUGCCUGCAAACCAUGGAAAUUCAUCUAGGACUGUCGGCUUUAAUUAUGACCUGGCCACUUACGCACCAUCUGCUGUCACAAUGUCGAGAUUCAAUGGUCACUUAUCAUCAAAAGACUAUGAAAGUUUGCAAAGGCCUAGUCUGUUGCUGCUGAUGCCAGACCAGAGUCUACUGCGUUACACACACAAGACUCCACUCUGCUUCUGUAUAUGCCAGAUAAAAGUCUGCGGACGAAACAUGCCAGAGACCCUGGUAUGCUGCUGAAGAUUUGUUUUUGUUUGUACGUUGUUUUUACGCUGCAUGGAGCUGAAGAGCAAAGUCUUCUGCUUCAAAGAGCGGAGAUCCAACAGACUGAAGACCCAAGUCUGCAGCUGCAAACACAGCUGAACACUAAAAACGAUCAGGUUCUACCAAUCGUCUUGAUUGACAUUAUGUAGACUGGACCUCAGUAAUUGCAGAAACUAAAUCUGUUCUGGUGGUUGGCAAAUAAACUAAAGUUUCGAGUGGAAAGUCUGUUUACUUCACGAAGUCGCUCAAAUCUCUAGCAGAGAGAGAGAGAUUUCUGAAGCUAUUAGUGCUGUCGAUACUCAUUAUAACCUAGUUCUGUUUCAUUGAUUAUUAACAUGAAGAACCAAUUAACCCGUUCAUUAGGAAUGAAUGGCUCGAAGAAUAGUAGGUGAUGGCUUGGGAAAUUUAAUAACAAUAAAAAUGUAACAGUUAGAAUCUUUGUCAUUCCUCCUUAUUAAUGAGGUUGUGGGCAGUCCUGACUUGAAUGUCUUCAAUAUGUUUGGGGAUUGAAUAAAGUUUUAAAUAUGACUACUGCUUCCCCCAGUUUUCUAAGAAAUAAUUUCACCAGAUAGAGAAAAUUGCCUCUACUUGAGUUUUAUCAACACGUUUUCAUUAUCUGGAGUCUCUCAAAUGUCACAGCAACUAACCAAUGUCAAAGGUAUAGUAUUUUAUAGAAAAAAAAAAACACUGAACAGUGUAGUUAAGUACUUAAGGUUUUUAGUGUACCUAUCAAAUUCAAUACAGUAGUGGAACACACUCAAACGCAAUGAAAUUCAAACUGUAGUGGAACACUAAAAAUGCACAUUAGUUAAUACUGACCAAAUAAAACGUGACACACACUCAUAACAGUAAAUACUCUCAAUUGCACUGAAGCUAAUGGACAAAAAUAAGAACACCUCUAUUACCUAUAGCACUGAAGUUAAUAGACCAAAUAAAACGUGGCCUACCCCUCUCUCUCAACUGAAGCUAAUAUUGACCAAAUAGAGACCUCCUACAUUUCUCUCUAUUGCUCUGAAGUUAAUAUAUUCUCUCUCUCUCUCUCUCUCUCUCUCUCU